AUGCACGCUGGCGGCGUGCCUAAUACAUGCAAGUCGAGCGAACGGACGAGAAGCUUGCUUCUCUGCUGUUAGCGGCGGACGGGUGAGUAACGCGUGGAUAACCUACCUAUAAGACUGGGAUAACUUCGGGAAACCGGAGCUAAUACCGGAUGAUAUUUUGUACCGCAUGGUUCAAAAGUGAAAGACGGUCUUGCUGUCACUUAUAGAUGGAUCCGCGCUGCAUUAGCUAGUUGGUAAGGUAACGGCUUACCAAGGCAACGAUGCAUAGCUGACCUGAGAGGGUGAUCGGCCACACUGGAACUGAGACACGGUCCAGACUCCUACGGGAGGCAGCAGUAGGGAAUCUUCGGCAAUGGGCGAAAGCCUGACGGAGCAACGCCGCGUGAGUGAUGAAGGUCUUCGGAUCGUAAAACUCUGUUAUUAGGGAAGAACAUAUGUGUAAGUAACUGUGGACAUCUUGACGGUACCUAAUCAGAAAGCCACGGCUAACUACGUG
RNAcentral lists this ribosomal RNA (496 nucleotides) under uncultured bacterium. RNAcentral describes it as "partial 16S ribosomal RNA". It matches the Rfam family "Bacterial small subunit ribosomal RNA", at positions 29 to 507 of the family's 1533-position model. The record is from RNAcentral.